UGACAUGCGGUGAAUGUGA
RNAcentral lists this unclassified non-coding RNA (19 nucleotides) under Chlamydomonas reinhardtii. RNAcentral's name for it is "small RNA Cre_2863". The record is from RNAcentral. Lineage: Eukaryota; Viridiplantae; Chlorophyta; Chlorophyceae; Chlamydomonadales; Chlamydomonadaceae.